GACGCAACGCGAAGAACUUACCAGGGCUUGACAUCUCCUGACCGCGUAUGAAAGUACGUUUUCACCUUCGGGAGACAGGGAGACAGGUGGUGCAUGGUUGUCGUCAGCUCGUGUCGUGAGAUGUUGGUUAAGUCCCGCAACGAGCGCAACCCCUACGUUUAGUUGCUAACGCGUGAAGGCGAGCACUCUAGACGAACUGCCGUUGACAAACGGAGGAAAGGUGGGGAUGACGUCAAAUCAUCAUGCCCCUUAUGUUCUGGGCUACACACGUGCUACAAUGGCCGGUACAACGAGAAGCGAAACCGCGAGGUGAAGCAAAUCUUUUAAAGCCGGUCCCAGUUCGGAUUGCAGGCUGAAACUCGCCUGCAUGAAGUUGGAGUUGCUAGUAAUCGCGGAUCAGCAUGCCGUGGUGAAUGCGUUCCCGGGUCUU
RNAcentral lists this ribosomal RNA (430 nucleotides) under uncultured Acidaminobacter sp. Its description in RNAcentral is "bacterial SSU rRNA". It matches the Rfam family "Bacterial small subunit ribosomal RNA", at positions 953 to 1382 of the family's 1533-position model. Lineage: Bacteria; Bacillati; Bacillota; Clostridia; Peptostreptococcales; Acidaminobacteraceae. The record is from RNAcentral.